CGACUCGGCUUCGAGUCAAUCAUCCGCGGAUAGUCCGCGCACUGGCUGCUCGUCAGCCUACCGCCCUCUGUGACUUAGCCUCAUAGCGGCGAAAUCGUCGCACACGCUGAACCCGGCUCAAGUCACUUGACAUAGCCAUUCUGGUGGCGAACACGUUGCACUUACCCAGCGAGGACUCAAGUCAUGACCUAUCCAUCUGGCGGUGAACUAAUCGCACCUCACCCAACAAUGGUUUCAGUCACGACUCAGCCACCUGGCGGCACCCGUAUCGUACUUACCCAGCAAUGGUUUCAGUCAAUCCCGGCGGUCUGAUCCACAAUCGGCUUAACCAUCCGGCGGCGAAGUCGUCGCACACGCCACGUCAAUGGUUCAAGUCCCGGGCGGUGAUCUCCAUGUGAUCGCCCCCAAUCCUCCCUCGGUAUCAACCUCGGCGGCGAAGUC
RNAcentral lists this long non-coding RNA (441 nucleotides) under Ananas comosus (pineapple). RNAcentral's name for it is "long non-coding RNA (ACOM_LNC043078)". Lineage: Eukaryota; Viridiplantae; Streptophyta; Magnoliopsida; Poales; Bromeliaceae. The record is from RNAcentral.